CCUACGGGGCGCAGCAGUAGGGAAUAUUGCUCAAUGGGGGAAACCCUGAAGCAGCAACGCCGCGUGGAGGAUGAAGGUUUUCGGAUUGUAAACUCCUUUUGUUAGAGAGGAUAAUGACGGUAUCUAACGAAUAAGCACCGGCUAACUCCGUGCCAGCAGCCGCGGUAAUACGGAGGGUGCCAGCGUUACUCGGAAUCACUGGGCGUAAAGAGCGCGUAGGCGGGAUAGCAAGUCAGAUGUGAAAUCCUAUGGCUUAACCAUAGAACUGCAUUUGAAACUGUUAUUCUAGAGUAUGGGAGAGGUAGGUGGAAUGCUUGGUGUAGGGGUAAAAUGCGUAGAGAUCAAGAGGAAUACUCAUUGCGAAGGCGACCUGCUAGAACAUAACUGACGCUGAUGCGCGAAAGCGUGGGGAGCAAACAGGAUUAGAUACCCUGGUAGUC
RNAcentral lists this ribosomal RNA (440 nucleotides) under uncultured bacterium. RNAcentral describes it as "partial 16S ribosomal RNA". It matches the Rfam family "Bacterial small subunit ribosomal RNA", at positions 338 to 795 of the family's 1533-position model. The record is from RNAcentral.